Molecule: non-coding RNA, 1821 nt
Organism: Vigna umbellata (rice bean)
Lineage: Eukaryota; Viridiplantae; Streptophyta; Magnoliopsida; Fabales; Fabaceae
Source: RefSeq, a predicted model, not a curated record
UUCUGUGUUUUGUCUUCCUCUGUCCAUAGUUGUGCAUGGAGAAGUGUGUCAGUGCAUCAUCUUCUCCAUAUCCGUCACCACCACCGGAGAUCAAACAUGUGGUUGAUUCAGCUGAGUCCACUCCGAAAGAGGGCUUCUUCUCCCCUUUGAUUCAGAGUCACACCAAUUUGGAUUCUCUUUGGAAGAAUUCCAUUUCUGUUGAUGCUCUCUCGUGUUCCAUGGCCAGGCUCUGCUUCACCGCCACCCCUCCGUUAAUUUCACCCAAUUGCUCCACUGCACUCUGCUGUCACUGUUCUGCACAAUUCCUUCAGCAUCACACUUCCUCUGCGCUUCAAGAUGUGAAGGCGCAGUUCAUCUCAGUCACACAAAUGCCCCGUCAGCAGCUGGGGAAACCAGACGUGAUGGAGAAGAUCUUCAGCCAACUCAAGGAUCACUUCUGUGACCUAAUGAUGGACCAACAUUGCGAUCUUUCCAUUCUAGCUAUUUUGCAAGCUAGCUCUGUCCACCACAUCACCAGGAUUCUUCACUUGGUCAUUCAAAACCAGCACAAGCUUAAGGAAUUGUGCAUGCAUAAUCAUGGGAGUUUGGUCUUCCAGAAGUUGUUGGAGCAUUUGAAGACUCCAGAUCAGAUAUCUGCUGUUAUAUUCGCUGUGAAGAGGAUCUGUGUGAGAUUGAGUAAGAAUAUCAAUGGUGGUCAUGUCAUUAACCACUGCCUCAAACUUUUCUCCCCUGCGCUUACAACAUUUAUUAUAGACGAAGUAGCAGAGAACUGUGUGGAAAUUGCAACAGACAAAAGUGGAUGUUCUACCCUUCAAAAAUGCCUUCAUCAUGCAAAAGACAAUAGUAUGAAGCGGCUGAUUCAAGAAAUAGUCUCACAUGCUUCACUCCUUACUGAACAUCCUUUUGGAAAUUAUGCUGUGCAGUACGUUGCUAAAAUGAAGAUACCUGGUGUAAAUGCAGAGAUAAUGUUACAACUUAAAGGUAGAUAUGCUCAAUUAUCUAUGAACAAGCAUGCUAGCAAUGUGGUGGAACACCUCUUAGAAUUCUCAGAAGAGAAGGAUGCUGCUGAUAUUAUUCAGGAGUUAAUGUACACUCAAAAUUUUUUGAGGAUUAUACAGGAUCCUUAUGGGAAUUAUGUUGUUCAAAGAGCGCUGCAAAAUUGCAAGGGCAAUGUUUAUAAAAUGCUUUCAACUAUAAUUUUGUUGAAUUAUCCAUAUCUGCACACCCAUCCUUAUGGGAAACGGGUUCUGACCUUCGUCCAAAGACGCAAGAACUAUGAACAAAGGCAUAUAUAAAAACAGGGUGGCUCUUCUGCUUGAGCAUCGAUGAAACUUUUGUUAGUGUUUUUCUGAACUCUUCAUAGUUUGUUUCAGAAGCUUACAUAUGCGAGCCAGACUAUUAUGAGAAUUCCCCAAGGGAACAAUCAAUGAAGGUGGUGCAUGGGGUGGGAGAAGGAAGUAUUAAGAAGGCAGAUGAUGAUGGUGGAAAAGCAUGUGGAAGUAUGCAUGAGAAGAAUAUAUGAAUGGGGAAAAAAAGGGCUAAGUGUGGGUCAUGGGGGAGCAUGUGUGAUUUGUACUCCAAGUUCAGGGCUGUGGCAAAAGCCAAGGACUGGUUGGUAAGAUUACCAUGUCGCUUUUCGGAGAUUGGUUCAAUUUACAGACAAUGAUUGAGGAACUAAUCAUUGUGCAUUCAACCACUCACCUUGCACGUAGGAAGUUAAGGUUCUAGACUCUUUCAACACUCUGAUACAAAAACUCAGAACUAAGGAUAAAUAAUAUGCAUAAAGAUAUCGCUUUUAUAGAUAUUCUUUCAAAGAAAAAU